CAAACUCCAAGCGUAGCUUGAUGUUGGACGAUGUCUUUCUCUGUCGGGAGUCUAGCACUUCUGGGAGAGGACACGUCUGGAACGCGUGGGCGCCGCCGCCGGACCACGAGCGUAGCAAGACGCAAGUCAUUUUUCGCUCUGUAGGACAUUUCGGUCGGACGGUCUAGCCUUGUCACAGACACACACACACCAAAA
Molecule: unclassified non-coding RNA, 195 nt
Filed under: uncultured Sympoventuriaceae
Lineage: Eukaryota; Fungi; Ascomycota; Dothideomycetes; Venturiales
Description: sequence contains ITS2
Source: RNAcentral